This is a long non-coding RNA of Hypanus sabinus (Atlantic stingray), 2625 nucleotides long. RefSeq lists it as uncharacterized. NCBI's taxonomy places the organism in Eukaryota, Metazoa, Chordata, Chondrichthyes, Myliobatiformes, Dasyatidae. The transcript is spliced from 4 exons. The record is from RefSeq and is a predicted model, not a curated record.
CAGCGGGUGGAAUGCUGAACGUUCGUCGCGGACCGAAGUUUGGAAUUGAGAGCGAGUGGACCCGGGGAGAGGCCGGAGAUACACUUCAGCCUCAGGGAAUCUGAGAACAAACUGUGACCGACAUCUGCAGCUCCCGGCAGCAGCUCGUCCUCAGAUACAUUCACAGCCAAUCGGCGAUCACUGCUGGGAGACUCUUGCCUCCAUUGGCUGAGGAGUGUCAGUGGGCAGGUCGCUGAGCGCUCGGAGCAGACCUGGGUUUAGAAUCGGGAAUGAAUGGACCCGGUGAGAGACCCGAGAUUGGGAGCAGCUCCUCGGGUAAAGGCUGCAACAGUGGCCGGAGAUUUGAAUCCUUCCGAUGGCAGAGGUGAAGAUUCGGGCGGAGAUUCCUUGAGAUGUUUCAGCCACUCAGACGGUGCCCAGUCUCUGCCUGCUGUGAUUUGGGGCCUAUUGUCUGGAGUUUCCUCCCGGAUUGGCCUCCUACUGUUGGGAUACGGGAGCUGGCCCACUGCGGCUGCCGAUGGAACUCCGGUGCUCUGAGCGUUCCCCUGUGCAAAAGGACAGGCUGAAGGUUUCAAUUUUAAGAUCAUAAGGAUUAGGCCAUUUGGUCCACAGAGUCAACGCUACCAUUUCGACAUGGCUGAUCCAAUUUUCCUUUCAGCGCCAACCUCCUGCUUUCUCUUCAUGCCAUGACCAAUCAAAACUCCUAUCAAACUGAACCUUAGACAUACAUAAUUAAUUGGCCUCUACAACUGCUCAUGGCAAAGAAUUCCACAGAUUCACCAUUCUCUGGUUAAAUAAAUUCCUCCUCAUCAUUCUAAAAUGACACCGCUCUGUGUCCUCUGCUGUCGGACUCUCCCACCGUAAGAAACAUCCAACGGAAUGUCCCACACCUUCAUUAUAUCUACAUGAAACAGUGAACAACAUAAAAACAACACGAGCAGAAGUUGACGAUCUGGCCCAGCAAGCCUACUGCGCCAUUCAGCGGGGACACUGAUGAUCUGACCUUGGACAAAUUUCCACCGACCUGCCUUUUCAAUAUAACCCCAUAUUCCCUUACUAUGAAAGAAUCUAUUCAAUCUGCCUUAAAUAUGUUAGUGAGGUAGACUGAAUUGUUUCGUUUGGCAGAAAAUUCCACAGACUCAUGAAUCUGGAAAAGAAGUUCUUCCUCAUUUCCGUUCCACAUCUACACCCCGAAUCUCCAGGGAUGUCCCCUCGUUCUAGUCUCAUCAAGCAGUGGAGCAGUGUUCCUGACUCGAUCUUAUCCAUCCCUUUCAUAAAUGUAUAUGUUUUAUAUGAUCUCCUCUCAUCAUUCUGAGUUCCAGCGAGUACAGACGCAGGGGACGCAAUCGCUAUUCUGAUCUUAACCUAUCAUCUCUGGAUUAAAACUGGUGAACAUCCUUUAUAUCGCCUCCAAAGCUGGUAUAUUCUUACCCAAGUCAGGAGACCCGAACUGCAGUACUCCCGAUGCGGCCUCCGAAGCACCCUGUACAGUUGCAGCAUAACUCCCUGCUCCUAAAUGUAAUCCCACUCCCAAUGAUCUACUUGGCUUCUUGAUCGCCUGCUGCACUUACAAAGCAACCUUUUACGUUUCAUGCACAAGGACUCCCAAGUUCCUCUGCACAAUAACAUGCUGCAAUCUUCUACCAAUUAAAUAAUAAUCUGAUCUUCAAUUUGUCCUUCCAAAGUCGAUUACCUCCCAUUUACCAACAUUGUGCUUCACCAUUUAGACCUUUGACAACUCUCUUAACCUAUCUAUAUCUCACUUCAGACUCUCCGUAUCCCAUGCACAAUUUUUCUUUUCCACUCAGUUUGGUGUCAUCAGAAAGCUUGGAAACACUACCUCGGUCCUCUCUUCCAUCCCCUUAAUAUAUAUGGAGAACAGUUGAGGAGUCUGCACGACCCCUGCGGAACAAUGCUCACCACUGAUUUCCAGAAAGAGACUUAUGAAUCCUAACUAUCUGCUUUCAAUUGGUUAACUAAUCCUCUAUCAAUGCUGACACAUCACCCACAACUCUGUGUAUCCCUAUCUUAUGGAAAAGUCUUUUACUGGGCAACUUAUCGAACGUUUUCUGGAAAUCAAAGUUAAUUGCGCCCAUCUGCUCCCCUUUAUCCACUGCGCUUGUUAUAUUCUCAGAGAACGGUAAGAUUGUCAAAGAGGGACUGCUGUUGCUGAAUCCAUGCUCCAUCUGCCUAAUGGAUGUAUUUCUUUCCAGAUACCUCGCUCUUUCUUCUCUAAUGAUGGCUUCAAGCGUUUUCCCAACGACAGAUAUUAAAGAAGGUGGAAGGUUGGAGGAUCGUUUCGGGGGAAUCGGUCAGAGAUUCACAGUGUGCGAAGGCAGACCGCUGUGGGCUGUGUGUGUGUCCACCCUCGCCUGGGUGACAGGCUCACCAUUGAAGAACGGUCUGGCCUGGUACGGAGGGGUCACAGUUGGUGACCACAACAGGACAAGCAGACAACGGAAGGUUUUCCUGCAACUGCAUCAUCUCUCUCUCUCUCUCUCUCUCUCUCUCUCUCUCUCUCUCUCUCUCUCUCUCUCUCUCUCUCUCUCUCUCCCACCCCCCCCCCCCAACGGUGCAACAGCAACUACCUGGACUUAAACUAAAUUGAACAUUGAACUGAACUGA